GCCAGUGUGGUUUAAUGGUUUGGGCAUUGGGCUACAACUCUGGAGACCAGGGUUCAAAUCCCUGUUCAGCCA
Phrynosoma platyrhinos (Desert horned lizard) is the source of this 72-nucleotide non-coding RNA. The record is from the annotation of a GenBank genome assembly. NCBI's taxonomy places the organism in Eukaryota, Metazoa, Chordata, Lepidosauria, Squamata, Phrynosomatidae.